Molecule: long non-coding RNA, 1627 nt
Filed under: Mus musculus (house mouse)
Lineage: Eukaryota; Metazoa; Chordata; Mammalia; Rodentia; Muridae
Description: long non-coding RNA chr1:137993690-137995317
Source: RNAcentral
AAAGAACCCAGAUGCCCCUCAACAGAGGAAUGGAUACAGAAAACGUGGUACAUUUACACAAUGUACCACACAAUUACACUCAGCUAUUAAAAAGAAUGAAUUUAUGAAAUUCCUAGGCAAAUGGAUGGACCUGGAGGGCGUCAUCCUGAGUGAGGUAACACAUUCACAAAGGAACUCACACAAUAUGUACUCACUGAUAAGUGGAUAUUAGCCCUGAACCACAUUUCUUGAGGCAGCAACGGCUCUCCACAGUUUGGUCCAUGAGGCUUGGGAAACAUCUAUAAUGUUUAAUUUAUAUAAUUCCUAAUGUGACAGUAACUGUCUAACAAAAGGACUGACAUCUCAAGCUUGGUGUCACCUAAGGACAUAUUUAGCAGAACUUAGUGGAAUUUAUGUGGAGGAGACAAUUAGUGCAGCAUUGUAAUUAAAAGGCUCCAUUGCUGUGAAGCCAUUAGAAAAGAUAGGACUUUUGGCCGAGGAUUUUGAGAUCAGAAGAGCAUAGAUGUGGACAUUCUUAUUCCACGUCUCAAACCCCAUUGCCCAUCCUAUGUGCUACCCAGCAGCCCUUCAGGGGCAUAAGGACCCUGGGAACUGAGAGAAGCCGUGUCUAUGGUCAGAAAUGCAAACUAGAAAUUAAAAUUUAAGAGGCAUUAUUAAUAUAAAUUUACAAAACUUCAGAGAAGUAUGAAUAACAAGUGUAUGUAGUGCCUUUUUAACAUGUGAUCAUAUUGAAUUUUCUCAGCACUCUUCCUUGGUGCUACGAUAAAAAACAAAGCUUUGCACAUACUUCAUAAUCUCUUUACAAUGUUUAUGCCCUAAUUUUUGGUAUAUAAUGUAGAAAUAAUAACCACGUCUAUAAAUUCUUAAAAGAAAUCACUCCCAGAAAACUACUGUUAUAAUUAGUGCUAUCAUCUCUUUAAAUCUCUCAGUCUUGAGAGACUGUCAUCCUGAUAGAAUUUGUAAUCACCAUACAAACAAACAUCUGGGAAUGUCUAUCAGGGAAUUUGUAGAUUAGGCCACUUGAAGAAGGGAAACUCAACCUAGCUGUGGGCAGCACUAUUCCGCGAAGAGGGGUCUGAACAGAAUAGAAAGGAGAAAGGCAGCUGAACAUCAGCAUUCAUCUCUCUUUGUUUCCUGGAUGGCGAUAUAAUGUGGCCAGCUGUCUCAAACUCCUGCCAUAGUACUGUCACCUUAAUGAUGGUCUGCUUCACCAGGUAAGCCAAAAGAAACUCUUCCCUUCGUGAGUUGCUUUCUUCUGGUAUUUUGCCACAUGGAUGACAAAUAUAACUACUAAAAGGGUUACCAUAUUUCAAGAUGUGGUUGAGGUGCAAAUAACCUACCUAAGGUAGUACUCUGCAUUGCCUAGAAGAUAGUAGUAUUCUCAUAUUUGUUUUUACAUUAAAACAGCUAAGGGGGUGUUAAAGUAAUGAUUCUUUCUAAGAAGCAUUCUAUAACCUAUUCUAAGAAGUAAUUAAUUCACUAUAAUUUAUAAGACAUUCCAAUUGUCUUGAGAUCUUUCUCCAAGUCUUAUAGUUAAAACAACCCUAUCAUAUUGAUAAACUAUGUAUCAAAGCUUCCAGUUACAUAAAUAUAUACAGAAUAAGUAUUUUUAUCCAGCCUGUGCAGG